This 1824-nucleotide ribosomal RNA is filed under the name Allostoma pallidum. RNAcentral's name for it is "SSU rRNA". It matches the Rfam family "Eukaryotic small subunit ribosomal RNA". The record is from RNAcentral. Lineage: Eukaryota; Metazoa; Platyhelminthes; Prolecithophora; Pseudostomidae.
CAUAUGCUUGUCUCAAAGAUUAAGCCAUGCAUGCCUAAGUGCAAGUCCUUGAAACGGUGGAACGCGAAUGGCUCAUUAAAUCAGCUAUUAUUGAUUAGAUGAUAUGUCUAAAAGAAGGACAACUGUAGUAAUUCUAGAGCUAAUACUUGCCAACUAUGUCCUGACCGCAAGGAAAGGAUGGCUUUAUUAGAACAAAAUCAUCCGUAUUGUUGCAGGCAACUGUGAUUGUACGUGUUAGUUUUGUUGACUCUUGAUAACGGUUACAGAUCGCAUGACCUUGUGUCAGCGAUAUGUCUUUCAAAUGUCUGACCUAUCAGCUUUCGACGGUAGGAUAGUGGCCUACCGUGGCUAUAACGGGUGACGGGGAAUCUGGGUUCGAUUCCGGAGAGGCAGCCUGAGAAACGGCUACCACGUCCAAGGACAGCAGCAGGCGCGCAAAUUACCCACUCCUAGCUCAGGGAGGUAGUGACAAAAAAUAACAAUGCGAAACUCAAUAGAGGCUUCGUAAUUGGAAUGACUUUUGCUCAAAUACUAUUAGAAGUAUCUAUUGGAGGGCAAGUCUGGUGCCAGCAGCCGCGGUAAUUCCAGCUCCAAUAGCGUAUAUUAACGUUGUUGCAGUUAAAAAGCUCGUAGUUGAAUUCAAAACGUGAGCGGCUGCUUGCUCAUCCUGUUGAGUUGCGUCCUCGGAUGUAACGAAGUAGGGUGUAGCGGGUAGCUGUUCUGUUUAAAAUGGUCGUGAAUCUUUGAUGAUCUUAACCGGUUGUCUUAGAUGAUCGGCAAGUUUACUUUGAAAAAAUUGGAGUGCUCAAAGCAGGCCUAUGCCUGGACAGUAGUGCAUGGAAUAAUGAAAUAGGACUUCGGUCUUAUUUUGUUGGUUUUAGAGAUCGAAGUAAUGAUUAAAAGGAACUGACGGGGGCAUCUGUAUACCAGGGGGAGAGGUGAAAUUCGUAGAUCCUUGGUAGACAAACUACUGCGAAAGCAUUUGCCAAGAAUGUUUUCAUUAAUCAAGAACGAAAGUCAGAGGUUCGAAGACGAUCAGAUACCGUCCUAGUUCUGACCAUAAACUAUACCAUCUGGCAAUCUGUGGUGACAUGUUUUAUAGUCUCACAGGCAGCCCCCGGGAAACCAAAGACUUUGGGUCCCGGGGGUAGUAUGGUUGCAAAGCUGAAACUUAAAGGAAUUGACGGAAGGGCACCACCAGGAGUGGAGCCUGCGGCUUAAUUUGACUCAACACGGGAAACCUCACCCGGCCCGGAUACUGGGGUGAUUAACAGAUUGAAAGCUCUUUUUUGAUUCAGUAGAUAGUGGUGCAUGGCCGUUCUUAGUUGGUGGAGCGAUUUGUCUGGUUAAUUCCGAUAACGAACGAGAUUCUAAUCUGCUAACUAGUAUGUUAGAAGUCAUUUGGCUUCUAACACAGACUUCUUAGAGAGAUAAUCAGUGUAAAAUAGCUGAAUGAAAAAGAGCAAUAACAGGUCUGUGAUGCCCUUAGAUGUCCGGGGCCGCACGCGCGCUACAAUUGUCGUAUCAGCGAGUUUUGCCCGUUCGAAAGGAUGGGAAAAACUGUUGAAACUCGACAAUGACCGGGAUCAUGGAACGCAAUUGUCCAUGUGAACGAGGAAUUCCCAGUAAGGGCACGUCAUCAGCGUGCGCUGAUUACGUCCCUGCCCUUUGUACACACCGCCCGUCGCUACUACCGAUUGAAUGGUUUAGUGAGGUUAUUGGAUUUGUGCUAGUGAUGUGGCAACACAUUACCAGUGCGGAGAAGAUAACCGAACUUGAUCAUUUAGAGGAAGUAAAAGUCGUAACAAGGUUUCCGUAGUGAAC